Molecule: ribosomal RNA, 253 nt
Filed under: uncultured bacterium
Lineage: Bacteria
Description: partial 16S ribosomal RNA
Rfam family: Bacterial small subunit ribosomal RNA
Source: RNAcentral
UACAGAGACUGCAAGCGUUAUUCGGAUUCACUGGGCGUAAAGGGCGCGCAGGCGGCUAUCCAAGUCAGGCGUGAAAGCCCCGGGCUUAACCUGGGAGGUGCGUCUGGGACUGGGUGGCUAGAGUUCGGGAGAGGAGAGUGGAAUUCCCAGUGUAGAGGUGAAAUUCGUAGAUAUUGGGAAGAACACCGGUGGCGAAGGCGGCUCUCUGGGACGGUACUGACGCUGAGACGCGAAAGCGUGGGGAGCGAACAGG